Molecule: long non-coding RNA, 763 nt
Organism: Monodelphis domestica (gray short-tailed opossum)
Lineage: Eukaryota; Metazoa; Chordata; Mammalia; Didelphimorphia; Didelphidae
Source: RefSeq, a predicted model, not a curated record
GUGAUGGGGUUAAUGCUGAUUGAGUCUCGUUCAAAGAAUUGAUUGGUGAUGGUUCAAAUGAUGGUUCAAAAUGAUUCCAUUCUAAGGAAACAAGUCUUAUUGUAAGAGCACAUUGUAACAAAGUAGUACAGUAAGUAAUUAAGACUGCAAAGGAGGGCAGUGAGUAUGGAAACUGAGCAUUGUUUGCACCCAGUCCUGUGUGACUGGGAAACUGAAUGUUUACAGGUCAGUGGAUCACAACCAAUGACAGAGAUUAUGUCUAAAGAUUGAUAUGAAAGGUAGCCGCAUUCUAAUCAACUAGUUAUUUCUAUGUUUUUUUGACUGCAUGCAGCCAUUUGGCAAGGUCCAUGAGACAUUUCAGUCCGAAUCAUCAGAGGAUGAGGGGAUAUAUAUUCCUAUACAUUCCAAAUAAUGUCAUAAUAAAGAAAUGGAGGGAAGAAUGAAGAAAUGAAACUGCCAAGUCCUUCUCUGAAAGGGAGGCAAUACCUGGGUGAUGUCAGCCCUUUUCCCACCACUCUCACCCCACCAUCCAGAGGUCUUCCCAGAGAAUUCUUGGCCAUAACGCAGAGGUGCAGGUCAGACCACUCGAGGAAACUCUUCUUAGGUUGACUUUCUGAAUUUUUUCAUCUUAAUUUUUAUUUGUAAAGGUUCAACCCAAGCUAAAGUGCCACCACAGAACUUGCUAGGCAGAGGCCUCCGGGAGCCAAAGAUACCACUCUCCGCCUUGCCCGAAGCAAAUUAAAACUAAUCUUUUUCAUUAAAA